RNAcentral lists this ribosomal RNA (581 nucleotides) under uncultured bacterium. Its description in RNAcentral is "bacterial SSU rRNA". It matches the Rfam family "Bacterial small subunit ribosomal RNA", at positions 102 to 694 of the family's 1533-position model. The record is from RNAcentral.
ACGGGUGAGUAACACGUGAGUAACCUGCCCUUGACUCUGGGAUAAGCCUGGGAAACUGGGUCUAAUACCGGAUACGACCAUCUGGCGCAUGUCAUGGUGGUGGAAAGCUUUUGUGGUUUUGGAUGGACUCGCGGCCUAUCAGCUUGUUGGUGGGGUAAUGGCCUACCAAGGCGACGACGGGUAGCCGGCUUGAGAGGGUGACCGGCCACACUGGGACUGAGACACGGCCCAGACUCCUACGGGAGGCAGCAGUGGGGAAUAUUGCACAAUGGGCGCAAGCCUGAUGCAGCGACGCCGCGUGAGGGAUGACGGCCUUCGGGUUGUAAACCUUUUUCAGUAGGGAAGAAGCCGUAAGGUGACGGUACCUGCAGAAGAAGCGCCGGCUAACUACGUGCCAGCAGCCGCGGUAAUACGUAGGGCGCAAGCGUUAUCCGGAAUUAUUGGGCGUAAAGAGCUCGUAGGCGGUUUGUCGCGUCUGCUGUGAAAGACCGGGGCUCAACUCCGGUUCUGCAGUGGGUACGGGCAGACUAGAGUGCAGUAGGGGAGACUGGAAUUCCUGGUGUAGCGGUGAAAUGCGCAGA